This is a small nuclear RNA of Saimiri boliviensis boliviensis (Bolivian squirrel monkey), 108 nucleotides long. The record is from Ensembl. NCBI's taxonomy places the organism in Eukaryota, Metazoa, Chordata, Mammalia, Primates, Cebidae.
GUGCUUCCUUCAGCAGCACAUAUACUAAAAAUUGGAACGAUACAGAGAAGAUUAGCAUGGCUCCUGCGCAAGGAUGACACGCAAAUUCAUGAAGGGCGAAAACUCCGU